AUACGUAGGGGGCGAGCGUUGUCCGGAAUGAUUGGGCGUAAAGGGCGCGUAGGCGGCGCGGUAAGUCUGGAGUGAAAGUCCUGCUUUCAAGGUGGGAAUUGCUUUGGAUACUGCCGCGCUUGAGUGCAGGAGAGGUUAUCGGAAUUCCCGGUGUAGCGGUGAAAUGCGUAGAGAUCGGGAGGAACACCAGUGGCGAAGGCGGGUAACUGGACUGCAACUGACGCUGAGGCGCGAAAGUGUGGGGAGCAAACAGGAUUAGAUACCCUGGUAGUCCACACUGUAAACGAUGAAUGCUAGGUGUAAGAGGUAUCGACCCCUUUUGUGCCGGAGUCAACACAAUAAGCAUUCCGCCUGGGGAGUACGGCCGCAAGGUUGAAACUCAAAGGAAUUGACG
Molecule: ribosomal RNA, 394 nt
Filed under: uncultured bacterium
Lineage: Bacteria
Description: partial 16S ribosomal RNA
Rfam family: Bacterial small subunit ribosomal RNA
Source: RNAcentral